UAGGGAAUCUUCCACAAUGGACGCAAGUCUGAUGGAGCAACGCCGCGUGAGUGAAGAAGGUUUUCGGAUCGUAAAGCUCUGUUGUUGGUGAAGAAGGAUAGAGGCAGUAACUGGUCUUUAUUUGACGGUAAUCAACCAGAAAGUCACGGCUAACUACGUGACAG
RNAcentral lists this ribosomal RNA (164 nucleotides) under uncultured bacterium. RNAcentral describes it as "partial 16S rRNA". It matches the Rfam family "Bacterial small subunit ribosomal RNA", at positions 355 to 511 of the family's 1533-position model. The record is from RNAcentral.